Pseudophryne corroboree (corroboree frog) is the source of this 783-nucleotide long non-coding RNA. RefSeq lists it as uncharacterized. Lineage: Eukaryota; Metazoa; Chordata; Amphibia; Anura; Myobatrachidae. The record is from RefSeq and is a predicted model, not a curated record. The transcript is spliced from 3 exons.
GCAGUUUUUUUUGGUACCACCACUGCAAACUUUGGACACACCUCCAAGACGCAAACCACACUCUCCUCAUCAGGAUGUUUAUAGUACUGGUACCAGCAUCCCUACACAACCAACUCAACACAGUGACAUGGAGGACACAAUCACUCUACAAAUGCAGCCAGUAUUAGAAGGAAACAGCCCCCCAGCACCUGUGAGGAGGGAAAUGUUCUUUGAGCUGCACAUUGAUCUUAGCCUGCAGAACUGUGACCAGUAUAUUUGAUUCCAAUAAUGAUUCUUUCUAGAUUCCAAUCAACCUAAGUUCAUGCAGCCAUACUAAUUGGCAGCAAAUAAGAAUGUCUUUAGCCUGCAGAAUUGUGACCAGUAUAUUUGAUUCCAAUAAUGAUUCGUUCUAGAUUCCAAUCAAUCUAAGCUCAUGCAGCCAUACUAAUUGGCAGCAAAUAAGAAUGUCUUUAGCCUGCAGAAUUGUGACCAGUAUAUUUGAUUCCAAUAAUGAUUCUUUCUAGAUUCCAAUCAAUCUAAGCUCAUGCAGCCAUACUAAUUGGCAGCAAAUAAGAAUGUCUUUAGCCUGCAGAAUUGUGACCAGUAUAUUUGAUUCCAAUAAUGAUUAUUUCUAGAUUCCAAACAAUCUAAGCUCAUGCAGCCAUACUAAUUGGCAGCCACCCAUAUUAAUCCAUGACAAAUACAACAAACAUUGUGAAUGCAAACUCUUUUAAAAUUAUUAUAUAUUGGACAUGACACUAAGAACACUAUUGUGUGUGUAAAUAUUGUCCUUCAAUUUUAGAA